This 465-nucleotide ribosomal RNA is filed under the name uncultured bacterium. RNAcentral's name for it is "partial 16S ribosomal RNA". It matches the Rfam family "Bacterial small subunit ribosomal RNA", at positions 338 to 795 of the family's 1533-position model. The record is from RNAcentral.
CCUACGGGGGGCAGCAGUGGGGAAUAUUGCGCAAUGGGCGUACGCCUGACGCAGCGACGCCGCGUGAGGGAUGAAGGUCUUCGGAUCGUAAACCUCUGUCAGCAGGGAAGCACGGUCACUGUGCUAAUCAGCAGUGAAUUGACGGUACCUGCAAAGGAAGCACCGGCUAACUCCGUGCCCGCACCCGCGGUAAUACGGAGGGUGCGAGGGUUAAUCGGAAUUACUGGGCGUAAAGCGCUCGUAGGGGGGAUGUCAAGUGCAGGGUGAAAUCCACGCGCGCAACGUGGGAUCUGCAUUUGAAACUGGCAAACUGGAGUGGGUGAGAGGAAAGUGGAAUUCGAGGUGUAGGAGUGAAAUGCGUAGAUAUCUGGAAGAACAUCAGUGGCGAAGGCGACAAUCUGGCACAUAACUGACGCUGAGGAGCGAAAGCGUGGGUAGCAAACAGGAUUAGAUACCCUUGUAGUC